AAGGAGAGCAACCUUAAUCCUGCCUUCAAUUCCUAGUGAACAGCAGUUUUGGAAGGCCCUUUUGUAAUCAAAGCUCGAUCUUGGUCAACUAACAGCAUCCUGUGUCUGCCAUCCCACUGCAAGAGUGUCCGGGUCCACGUCACUGACUGCACCAUCCCACUGCAAGAGUGUCCUGGUCCACCUCACUGACCUGCUAGGCAUAAAACGGUGAAUGUUUCUGACUGAAAAAGCGAUUCCAAUGUUAAAAAGCGCAUGUGUCAUGGUCUAGCUAAAUUAGACUUGCCUAGUUCCCAUGUGUUUUUAUGUUUUAUAUGUGCAACCUGCUGCUAGUAAAGGUUGCUCUUUCCGUUGCUAUAGGUCAGUUGGAAUUUUAGGCCGGUCAGAAAAUAGGGGCAGUACAUGGUCGGUCUCAGCUCAUCACAUUCUUGUUUUAAUAUUUGUUUUGGUUUUGUUUGGCUGAUGGGAUGUGGAGGUCCACUCUACAUUUGCAUUUCUGCACACGAUCCCGGUAAUCAUCAAGAGAACAAGCCCCAUUUAGAUAUGGAGAGAAGACUAAAUCCCUGAAGUCAAGUGCAUUACUAUCGGUGUUCGUCACACAGAAAGCAUUUGAACUCCUACAAGGGACAACUAUCUUCACCAAAUUGGACCUCCGUAACGCCUACCACCUGGUCCGGGUCAAGGAGGGAGACGAGUGGAAGACGGCCUUCAACACACCUACAGAGUCGUCCUCCAGCGCCUGCUUGAGAAUCAUCUCUUUGU
Long non-coding RNA from Gasterosteus aculeatus aculeatus (three-spined stickleback), 759 nucleotides. Lineage: Eukaryota; Metazoa; Chordata; Actinopteri; Perciformes; Gasterosteidae. The record is from Ensembl.